AUGCUGUGGAAGGCUGGCACGAUAACUGAGCCUGGGAUGGCCAACUGCAUGGUGCUGUCCGACUCCUCUCUGGAGUCUGCACGAUGUCUGGGCUUGGUGAGAGGAGGUGGUGCAGAAUCCUUGAGAAGAAAGCUGCUUGGGUUUGUAGUUAGAAGUCUGACGGUGACGGGGGCGCCUGGCUGGCUCAGUCGGUCGAACACGUGACUCUUGAUCUCGGGGUUGUGAGUUCAAGCCCCAUGUUGGGUAUAGAGGUUAUUCAAAAAAGAACUUUGAUCAAGAUAAACAGCAUUUCCCCCACCCCAAGCAAACCCCUUUUAAGACUUAUGCAGAAAUGUGCAAAUUAUGGUAUAAAACCCAAAGGCUUCAAACAAAGCCAAUUUAAAUAUUAGAUUUUUAAUAGUAUUGAAACCAAAGAACUGUCCACUUAAAGUCCUAGCUGUCCUAGGACUUUUGGGGUUCAGAGGCUUUAACCAUUUCUGCUCUUUAUGCUCGGACCUUCCUUCCGCUCCACACACAGAAGGCACCCUCCCGUCAGCCCAGCCCCGGACUACGUGCAAAGCAAAGCUGUAACCCAGCCUUCUCCAAAAGAUUACAAAUGAAUCAAAAGUAAGAAAAUACUGAUUUGACCAUAAAUAUUUUUAUUAAAUGUGAAAAUACACAGGCAUAAAAAUAUUACCCAUAUUUGCAGACAUAUCUGAGACCCAUUUCAAUUAAUUUUCAGUUUCUUUUUUUAUUAAAACACUAAAUUGAGAUGGAUUACAUUAGUCUUGUCUCAUUCAGAACCAGCAAGAGCCUUACAGUAGGAAUAGUUUAACUUCUCAAACAUCACGUUUUUCCUCCUCCACACUCUGCUUUCCACUGCAGGCAAGAGGGUCACCUCAGACAAGUGCAACACCACCUGCCCCUAUACAUAAAGCCACUCAGUGGCUAACUGUACUCUUCAGUCAUUCAGCAAAUGAGAUCAUCCAGUAAAAAAAAAAAUCCCCACCUAUUAAUAUCAUUUGCAAUUGCAGAAUAGACUCUGCUACUAACAAAAGGAAUGAUCUGAUUUAGAAUAAGGAUCGUAUUCAUUGACAAAUUAGCAGUUGCCUUGCUCCUUCCUUUAUAAAUAUGGGAAAGUCCACUACAUUCACUGAAGUUGCAUGAAUUUCUCUAGGUCACACCACGGACGGUACUCAGGGCUUCGGCAAGGCCCGUGGCCAGCACCCUGUACUUUAAGGCCAGCGGCUCUAACCCAGCCUGACUGAGGAGCUGGUUUUAACGUAAGCAUCUUCUGCAUUUUUUUCAUGGUAAAUGUCAUAACUUCUGACCAAUUUCAUGCUUUUAAAGGUGAAAUCUUCCAUUUUCCACCACGAAUAGGAAAUGCUGCCAAUUUCAAAUUGUGAUUCUAUUAACCUUUUUCCUACUUGGUUAUCAGUAUCUUUCCCUUAAAAAACAACUAUGGGAAGUUUUUACGUUCCAUUAUCAGAGUCCCAAAAAGUUGCUUUCAUACUGAUAUUUAAGAGAAAUUUUUAAUACUGACUAAAGAGAAGGAUGUUUUAAAGUUAGCAUUACAUCCAUCCAAUUCACAGUCAUAAACUAUUGUUUUCGUUUUCAAGUUUUCAUUUAUCCAUGCUAAGAAAGCACAAAGUUUCAAAAAUGGGCAAUAAAUGUAUUCUCUUUCAUGUUUCUAGGCA
Molecule: long non-coding RNA, 1676 nt
Filed under: Ursus maritimus (polar bear)
Lineage: Eukaryota; Metazoa; Chordata; Mammalia; Carnivora; Ursidae
Description: lncRNA (ENSUMAG00000025238.1)
Rfam family: tRNA (bases 174-246)
Source: RNAcentral